Molecule: transfer RNA, 72 nt
Filed under: Ovis aries (sheep)
Lineage: Eukaryota; Metazoa; Chordata; Mammalia; Artiodactyla; Bovidae
Rfam family: tRNA
About the family: Transfer RNA (tRNA) molecules are approximately 80 nucleotides in length. Their secondary structure includes four short double-helical elements and three loops (D, anti-codon, and T loops). Further hydrogen bonds mediate the characteristic L-shaped molecular structure. tRNAs have two regions of fundamental functional importance: the anti-codon, which is responsible for specific mRNA codon recognition, and the 3' end, to which the tRNAs corresponding amino acid is attached (by aminoacyl-tRNA synthetases). tRNAs cope with the degeneracy of the genetic code in two manners: having more than one tRNA (with a specific anti-codon) for a particular amino acid; and 'wobble' base-pairing, i.e. permitting non-standard base-pairing at the 3rd anti-codon position.
Source: Rfam by way of RNAcentral
UCCCUGGUGGCUCAGAUGGUAAAGCGUCUGCCUACAAUGCAGGAGACAUGGGUUCGAUCCCUGGGCCGGGAA